RNAcentral lists this long non-coding RNA (577 nucleotides) under Salmo trutta (river trout). RNAcentral's name for it is "lncRNA (ENSSTUG00000039169.1)". Lineage: Eukaryota; Metazoa; Chordata; Actinopteri; Salmoniformes; Salmonidae. The record is from RNAcentral.
AGCAUUUUACCGAAACAGUGGCACGGAGAACACUGUCAUUGUUUCAACUUCUGAUUAUCCCUUUAAAGAAUUGAUUUAUAUAGGAAACCAAAGCCUCGUAUAGGAGAUCAUUUUCCUAUAGCUCAUUGACCGCAGACAAUCACCUCUCUUUCCUUGUGUAUUCUAUGUCAUCGUGUUUCACUGAAAUGUUAUCUGUUUUUAUUCUGUCAGACUUGUUCCUGCUGUGCCGAGCCGGGAGAGGUUCAGCAUCAGAGUCCAUCUGUCCCCCAUCCCCUCUGUGGAGACAGACAGUCAACAAACCCAGGGGGAGACAUGGGUCAAAGAGUGCACAGCUAAACAGCACCUGCAGAGGCACGAGGAACAAGAUGCGAAAAUGAAGAGAUUGUAUGUCAAUCUGAAGAAAUUGGUGCAGGCUGGGAGCCCAGAGGUUUUACAAGAGGUCGUGACAAGCCAGGCGUCUUUAGAGGCCAAGAAACAGAAAGACAUCAGUGCUCCGCAUAACACCCCUCAGAACAGUAAGACCAUGUGGUCCAACAGAGCCAAGCACAGUGAGGCGGAAAGAGGUAGGCUGCAUCUC